GAUGAACGCUGGCGGCGUGCCUAAUACAUGCAAGUCGAGCGAACGGACGAGAAGCUUGCUUCUCUGAUGUUAGCGGCGGACGGGUGAGUAACACGUGGAUAACCUACCUAUAAGACUGGGAUAACUUCGGGAAACCGUAGCUAAUACCGGAUAAUAUUUUGAACCGCAUGGUUCAAAAGUGAAAGACGGUCUUGCUGUCACUUAUAGAUGGAUCCGCGCUGCAUUAGCUAGUUGGUAAGGUAACGGCUUACCAAGGCAACGAUGCAUAGCCGACCUGAGAGGGUGAUCGGCCACACUGGAACUGAGACACGGUCCAGACUCCUACGGGAGGCAGCAGUAGGGAAUCUUCCGCAAUGGGCGAAAGCCUGACGGAGCAACGCCGCGUGAGUGAUGAAGGUCUUCGGAUCGUAAAACUCUGUUAUUAGGGAAGAACAUAUGUGUAAGUAACUGUGCACAUCUUGACGGUACCUAAUCAGAAAGCCACGGCUAACUACGUGCCAGCAGCCGCGGUAAUACGUAGGUGGCAAGCGUUAUCCGGAAUUAUUGGGCGUAAAGCGCGCGUAGGCGGUUUUUUAAGUCUGAUGUGAAAGCCCACGGCUCAUCCGUGGAGGGUCAUUGGAAACUGGAAAACUUGAGUGCAGAAGAGGAAAGUGGAAUUCCAUGUGUAGCGGUGAAAUGCGCAGAGAUAUGGAGGAACACCAGUGGCGAAGGCGACUUUCUGGUCUGUAACUGACGCUGAUGUGCGAAAGCGUGGGGAUCAAACAGGAUUAGAUACCCUGGUAGUCCACGCCGUAAACGAUGAGUGCUAAGUGUUAGGGGGUUUCCGCCCCUUAGUGCUGCAGCUAACGCAUUAAGCACUCCGCCUGGGGAGUACGACCGCAAGGUUGAAACUCAAGGGAAUUGACGGGGACCCGCACAAGCGGUGGAGCAUGUGGUUUAAUUCGAAGCAACGCGAAGAACCUUACCAAAUCUUGACAUCCUUUGACAACUCUAGAGAUAGAGCCUUCCCCUUCGGGGGACAAAGUGACAGGUGGUGCAUGGUUGUCGUCAGCUCGUGUCGUGAGAUGUUGGGUUAAGUCCCGCAACGAGCGCAACCCUUAAGCUUAGUUGCCAUCAUUAAGUUGGGCACUCUAAGUUGACUGCCGGUGACAAACCGGAGGAAGGUGGGGAUGACGUCAAAUCAUCAUGCCCCUUAUGAUUUGGGCUACACACGUGCUACAAUGGACAAUACAAAGGGCAGCGAAACCGCGAGGUCAAGCAAAUCCCAUAAAGUUGUUCUCAGUUCGGAUUGUAGUCUGCAACUCGACUACAUGAAGCUGGAAUCGCUAGUAAUCGUAGAUCAGCAUGCUACGGUGAAUACGUUCCCGGGUCU
Molecule: ribosomal RNA, 1372 nt
Filed under: uncultured bacterium
Lineage: Bacteria
Description: bacterial SSU rRNA
Rfam family: Bacterial small subunit ribosomal RNA
Source: RNAcentral